This 204-nucleotide long non-coding RNA is filed under the name Elaeis guineensis (African oil palm). RNAcentral describes it as "long non-coding RNA (EGUI_LNC048301)". The record is from RNAcentral. Lineage: Eukaryota; Viridiplantae; Streptophyta; Magnoliopsida; Arecales; Arecaceae.
UAGGCAGAACCUUAGGAUACUCUCAGAAAACCCUGCGCCCUUUCUGUUUCUUUUCUUUUCUCACGCACAAGGCUUUUCUCAUGCCACACUUCUCUCUCAGAUCAGAUGUCGCAUGCCCCACCUUCACUUUCCUUUUAAAAUAGAGGAAGACCGCAUCUUUACAGCAUUUUCACCACGUGAGAGGAUAAAGCUAGGUGGUUCCUC